UGUACGGCGAGCCUAAGGCCUAGCGGGCCGGAGGCGGAGCGAAAGCGAGUCUGAAUAGGGCGUUGAGUCGUACGGGCUAGACGCGAAACCUUGUGAUCAACCCUCGAGCAGGCUGAAGUGCGGGUAAAACCGCAUGGAGGGCCGAACGGGUGACCGUUGAAAAGGUCUCCGAUGACUUGAGGGGAGGAUUAAAAGUAUAAUCAAACUGGGAGAUAGCUCGUUCUCUCCGAAAUAACUUUAGGGUUAGCCUCGGGUGGCAAGCGAUGGGGGUAGAGCUACUGGAUGAGGCGUCGGGCCUAACCGGCUACGACCCUCAACCAAACUCCGAAUACCAUUGCCCAAGACCCGGGAGAUAGACGGUGAGUGACAAUAUCCAUCGUCAAAAGGAGAACAAUCCAGACCACCAGCUAAGGUCCCGAAUCUACGCUUAGUUCGAAAGGAAGUCAGAUUGCAGUGACAGCCGGGAUGUUGGCUUAGAAGCAGCCACCAUUUAAAGAGUGCGUAACAGCUCACCGGUCGAGGAGUCUGGCGCCGAUAAUGAUCGGGAAUAAGCGUGGAGCCGAAGCUGUGGGCCCAGCAGCAAUGCUGGGCGGUAGGAGAGCGUAGUUGAUGCUGUGAAGCGGCUCGGGAACGGGUCGUGGAGCGUCCACUAGUGCAUAUGCCGGCUUAAGUAACGAUUAACACGGUGAAAAUCCGUGUCGCCGAAUGCCUAAGGUUUCCUGGGGAAGGUAAAUCCGCCCAGGGUUAGCCGGGUCCUAAGGUGAGGCCGAAAGGCGUAGCCGAUGGAAAUCAGGUCAAUAUUCCUGAGCCAAUGCCCAAUAUGGUGACGGAUCUCCAAGAUCUGCGGGACUGCUAGAUGUCCAGGCCCUCGAGGCCGAUGCAGGUGGAGGAGGUCACGAGAAAAACCGGGCGUGCCCGUACUAAAACUGACACAGGUAGGCGAGGCGAAUAGCCUCAGGCGCUCGAGAGAACGGUCGUGAAGGAACUAGGCAAUUUAACCCCGUACGUUCGCAAGAAGGGGGCCCUCGUCGUCAGACAGGGCGCAGAGAAAAGGGUCUGGGAACUGUUUAUCAAAAACACAGCUCUGUGCUAACUCGGAAGAGGAUGUAUACAGAGUGACGCUUGCUCAAUGCCGGAAUGUCACGGAAGCGGGUCAUCGCAAGAGAAGCCCGCGACUCAAGCACCGGUGAAUAGCGGCCGUAACUAUGACGGUCCUAAGGUAGCGAAGUUCCUUGUCGGGUAAGUUCCGACGCGCAUGAAUAGCGUAAUCACUGGACUCCUGUCUCCACGACCGACUCGGUGAAAUAGUAGUGGCGGUGAAGAUGCCGUCUACCCGCAGCAAGACGGAAAGACCCCGUGGACCUUCACUAUAGGCAUGCGCUGGUCACGAGCACGAACUGCGUAGCAUAGGUGGGAGGCUUUGAAGUUCCCGUUUCGGCGGGAAUGGAGCCAACAAGUGAAAUACCACCCUGUUUAUGUUUGUGGCCUAACUUCGAUUCCCGUGAAUCCGGGCGAAGAACACCGUGUGUUGGGUAGUUUGACUGGGGCGGUCUCCUCCCAAAGAGUAACGGAGGAGUGCAAAGGUCGGCUCAGCACGGAUGGAAACCGUGCCCUGCGUGCAAGAGCACAAGCCGGCUUUACUGCGAGACCGACGGGUCGAGCAGUUACGAAAGUAGGCUCUAGUGAUCCUGCGAUCCCGUGUGGAAGGGUCGUAGCUCAUCGGAUAAAAG
RNAcentral lists this ribosomal RNA (1730 nucleotides) under activated sludge metagenome. RNAcentral describes it as "bacterial LSU rRNA". It matches the Rfam family "Bacterial large subunit ribosomal RNA", at positions 634 to 2462 of the family's 2925-position model. The record is from RNAcentral.